This is a long non-coding RNA of Thalassophryne amazonica, 1333 nucleotides long. RefSeq lists it as uncharacterized. The record is from RefSeq and is a predicted model, not a curated record. The transcript has 3 exons. Lineage: Eukaryota; Metazoa; Chordata; Actinopteri; Batrachoidiformes; Batrachoididae.
GGUUGCUGGAACACCAGAUUGCUGUUUGAAAGCUUGCAGCUCCUGGGACCUUCAGAACUUCUGGGAUAAGAGAGACAGGGGAGAGCAAGGUCACUGGAGACCCCAGAAUUAUCCCAUGAAUUAGUGACCACGACAUGAUUUGAAGAAGGUGGUUUGGAACUGAUCUCUGGGAAAGCUGUGCUGCAGAAGAGUCUCUCACCUUUAUUAUGAUGAUUGGCUGCACCUGCUGUGAUCUCGUGCGGCUCUCCAUUAGGAGGAAGUUACGACACCUGUGAUAUUCACAUGCAGAUCUAAGGGCUUUCAGCUAGUACCUAUGUGGUAAUUAGAAGCUGCAUUUAAGCCAGCAGUGAGUUGGACUGGAUUGCCGGAGAAUUGAACUUUGUUGCAUUCUUGUGACGAGUAUGUGAGGACGCCGAGGGCUGCUCCAGAGGCUGACAUCACGUCUGUGAAGGAGGAUGAGGGUGAGAGGCAAGCGCUGUCAGCACACGUCAGAGGUGAUUAUUUCUAAAAGCUAAAUUGUUUAUAUGUUGUGGCGUUUGACGCAGUUAAAAUUAAAGAAUUGAAGAUAAUUGUUCUGAUUGCUCCUCACGGCUGUGGUGAAGGGAUUGAUGAUCUUCCACUCACUGUGAGCAGCUGUUUGUCUGAAGUAGGUCCGCAGUAAGAUCUGAACGUGUUGCUGAUAAGUGUGCCUCUGUGGAGAAAAUUGUGGAUAAUGAUAGUAUGAAUAACCUCACUUCUGCUCCUCCUUCACAGAGCAUUGUUCUGGAAAGCCACCUGGGGGGUGGGGGGUGUUGACGGAACGAUUGAGUCCAGAAGAUUCGGGCUCGGAUCUGUUGUGGCGCUGAGAGAGUGCGCCACUUGUCCACCUCACCAGACUUUUAUUAUUUAGAUUUUAUGGACAGCACAGGGUGACAGUAAUAAAUCUGUUUUUCUUUCUGGAGCUGCUUCUGGUCAAUUAGUGCUGGGUUCUGUUGGACUCUGGGCCGCUCCUCGGUCCGCGUUCCUCACAUAACACAAACUUUGAAAAGUUAUAGUCACUCAUUUCCAUUAAUUAAACUAACUCAAAAAUGACUUGUUGUCAUAACAACACAGUUCCUUUAAGUGCAUUUGAAGUUUUGGGACAUUUAAGUGUUGGUGAUGUAUUUCCAGUGCAUUACAUUCACUCAUUUUAAUUGAGUUUACGUAAUGGAGACCAGCAGGUGUCAAAUGGACAGUCAGAACAACACAAUGCAGAGUCAAUAAGUAAACUAAGGAAUGCCAGGCCUGGCGCCAAAAAAAAAAUAUUAAGGGGGCGAUGAGUUUAUUACAGGGGGCGGGAUCCCCCCCCCCCCCC